This 420-nucleotide ribosomal RNA is filed under the name Triticum aestivum (bread wheat). RNAcentral's name for it is "partial small subunit ribosomal RNA". Lineage: Eukaryota; Viridiplantae; Streptophyta; Magnoliopsida; Poales; Poaceae. The record is from RNAcentral.
AUGGAGAGCAAGCAUUUCAAGAGCGUGAUCAUGUGUGCACUCAUACUGAUACUGGGACUGCUUGUCCAGGGACAAAUCCAAGUAGCAGAGGGCAAGAGCUGCUGCAGAGACACCAGGUCAAGAAACUGUUACAACGUGUGCCUUCUUGUGCACCCCAGUACUCCCUGCUCAAAAAUGUGUGGCUGUGUGCUCACAAGGGACAGCACAUGCCCCAGGGAAUACCCUAAGCUCAACCUUCUCCCCGGUUCAGCUGAACCAGACGCCAUUGAGUACUGCAAAUUAGGAUGUAGGCUCUCAGUCUGUGACAACGUCAAUUCAGCUGAGCUUGGCGAAGACACGAAAGUCGGCGUGGGGCGCUGCGGCGAUGCGUGCGGCCGGUUCUGCAACAAUGCCACCAACAUUGCAUCCGUCGAUGCUUGA